RNAcentral lists this long non-coding RNA (225 nucleotides) under Medicago truncatula (barrel medic). Its description in RNAcentral is "long non-coding RNA (MTRU_LNC004651)". The record is from RNAcentral. Lineage: Eukaryota; Viridiplantae; Streptophyta; Magnoliopsida; Fabales; Fabaceae.
UCAAGAGUCGUGUCUAGGGCUCUGAUACGUGGGAUGAGAAUUAUUAUAUUAUAUUAUUGUUGUUUUCCUUUCCAUGUAUCGAAUUUUGGAACUUGUUGAUGUGGCCCUUUGUUGGUCGACUUAUUGUUGUUUAGGCUUAAUGCCAAGAUGUUAUUGGAGACUUAAACCGUUGUUGUUGUUAUUGAAAUGCAAAACUUUCCGCUGCAUGAUUUUGAAGUUAUGAAU